GACGUAGGAGGCGAGCGUUGUCCGGAUUCAUUGGGCGUAAAGAGCACGCAGGCGGUUUGGCAAGUCGGGUGUGAAAACCCGGAGCUCAACUCCGGACCUGCAUCCGAAACUGCCCGACUAGAGGUAGGUAGGGGAGAUCGGAAUUCCUGGUGUAGCGGUGAAAUGCGCAGAUAUCAGGAGGAACACCGGUGGCGAAGGCGGAUCUCUGGGCCUUACCUGACGCUCAGGUGCGAAAGCUAGGGGAGCGAACAGG
This 253-nucleotide ribosomal RNA is filed under the name uncultured bacterium. Its description in RNAcentral is "partial 16S ribosomal RNA". It matches the Rfam family "Bacterial small subunit ribosomal RNA", at positions 524 to 776 of the family's 1533-position model. The record is from RNAcentral.